Molecule: ribosomal RNA, 403 nt
Filed under: bacterium
Lineage: Bacteria
Description: partial 16S ribosomal RNA
Rfam family: Bacterial small subunit ribosomal RNA
Source: RNAcentral
UGGGGAAUAUUGCACAAUGGAGGGAACUCUGAUGCAGCGACGCCGCGUGAACGAAGAAGGCUUUCGGGUCGUAAAGUUCUUUUAUAGGGGAAGAUAAUGACGGUACCAUAAGAAGAAGCCCCGGCUAACUACGUGCCAGCAGCCGCGGUAAUACGUAGGGGGCUAGCGUUGUCCGGAAUGACUGGGGGUAAAGGGUUCGCAGGCGGAAAUGCAAGUCAGGUGUAAAAGGCAGUAGCUUAACUACUGUAAGCAUUUGAAACUGCAUGUCUUGAGAAGAGUAGAGGUAAGUGGAAUUUUUAGUGUAGCGGUGAAAUGCGUAGAUAUUAAGAAGAAGACCGGUGGCGAAGGCGACUUACUGGGCUCAUUCUGACGCUGAGGAACGAAAGCGUGGGUAGCAAACAGG